UGGCGGCGUGUCUAAUACAUGCAAGUCGUACGAGAAAGCCCGGCUUCGGUUGGGUGAGUAAAGUGGCAAACGGGUGAGUAACACGUGGAUAAUCUCCCUUUCAGUCUGGGAUAAGCUCGGGAAACUGGGUCUAAUACCGGAUGAUAUCCUUGGACGGCAUCGUCCGAAGAUCAAAGGCGGGGCAACCUGUCGCUGAGAGAUGAGUCCGCGCUCCAUUAGCUAGUUGGUAGGGUAACGGCCUACCAAGGCUGCGAUGGAUAGCCGGCCUGAGAGGGUGAACGGCCACACUGGGACUGAGAUACGGCCCAGACUCCUACGGGAGGCAGCAGUAGGGAAUAUUGGGCAAUGGGCGCAAGCCUGACCCAGCGACGCCGCGUGGGUGAUGAAGAUCUUUGGAUCGUAAAACCCUGUCAGUGGGGAAGAACCGCAUACGGAGUAACUGCCGUAUGCCUGACGGUACCCACAGAGGAAGCUCCGGCUAACUCCGUGCCAGCAGCCGCGGUAAUACGGGGGGAGCGAGCGUUGUUCGGAUUCACUGGGCGUAAAGGGCGUGUAGGUGGAUCCCCAAGUCAAAUGUGAAAACCGGCGGCUUAACCGUCGGCCUACAUUUGAAACUGUGGAUCUUGAGUACGGGAGAGGAAAGCGGAAUUCCUGGUGUAGCGGUGAAAUGCGUAGAUAUCAGGAGGAACACCGGUGGCGAAGGCGGCUUUCUGGCCCGAUACUGACACUAAGGCGCGAAGGCCGGGGGAGCAAACAGGAUUAGAUACCCUGGUAGUCCCGGCGGUAAACGAUGGGCACUAGGUGUUGGAGGUAUCGACCCCUUCAGUGCCGCAGCUAACGCAUUAAGUGCCCCGCCUGGG
This 860-nucleotide ribosomal RNA is filed under the name uncultured bacterium. RNAcentral's name for it is "bacterial SSU rRNA". It matches the Rfam family "Bacterial small subunit ribosomal RNA", at positions 37 to 877 of the family's 1533-position model. The record is from RNAcentral.